AACGAACGCUGGCGGCAUGCCUAACACAUGCAAGUCGAACGAGACCUUCGGGUCUAGUGGCGCACGGGUGCGUAACGCGUGGGAAUCUGCCCUUGGGUUCGGAAUAACAGUUGGAAACGACUGCUAAUACCGGAUGAUGACGUAAGUCCAAAGAUUUAUCGCCCAAGGAUGAGCCCGCGUAGGAUUAGCUGGUUGGUGAGGUAAAGGCUCGCCAAGGCGACGAUCCUUAGCUGGUCUGAGAGGAUGAUCAGCCACACUGGGACUGAGACACGGCCCAGACUCCUACGGAAGGCAGCAGUGGGGUAUAUUGGACGAUGGACGAAAGCCUGGUCCAGCAGUGCCGCGUGAGUGAUGAAGGCCUUAGGGUUGUAAAGCUCUUUUACCCGGGAUGAUAAUGACAGUACCGGGAAAAUAAGCACCGGCUAACUCCGUG
Molecule: ribosomal RNA, 433 nt
Filed under: uncultured bacterium
Lineage: Bacteria
Description: partial 16S ribosomal RNA
Rfam family: Bacterial small subunit ribosomal RNA
Source: RNAcentral